This 916-nucleotide ribosomal RNA is filed under the name uncultured bacterium. RNAcentral describes it as "bacterial SSU rRNA". It matches the Rfam family "Bacterial small subunit ribosomal RNA", at positions 8 to 916 of the family's 1533-position model. The record is from RNAcentral.
AGAGUUUGAUCAUGGCUCAGGACGAACGCUGGCGGCGUGCUUAAUACAUGCAAGUCGAGCGAGGCCUUGGAAUUGGAGUCCUUCGGGAUGAAGAGUCCUUGGCCUAGCGGCGGACGGGUGAGUAACGCGUGGGCAACCUACCCCAAAGUCCGGGAUAACAGUGGGAAACCGCUGCUAAUACCGGAUGGCUUUACCUGAGGGCAUCCUUGGGUAAAGAAAGGUUACGCUUUGGGAUGGGCCCGCGUCCCAUUAGCUAGUUGGUGAGGUAACGGCUCACCAAGGCGACGAUGGGUAGCCGGCCUGAGAGGGUGAACGGCCACACUGGGACUGAGACACGGCCCAGACUCCUACGGGAGGCAGCAGUAGGGAAUAUUGCGCAAUGGGCGGAAGCCUGACGCAGCGACGCCGCGUGAGCGAAGAAGGCCUUCGGGUCGUAAAGCUCUGUCCUUGGGGAAGAAGGCGAAAGCUUGACGGUACCCAAGAAGAAAGCCCCGGCUAACUACGUGCCAGCAGCCGCGGUAAUACGUAGGGGGCGAGCGUUGUCCGGAAUUACUGGGCGUAAAGGGUGCGUAGGCGGCCUUUUAAGUCAGAUGUGAAAGGCUGCGGCUUAACCGCAGGACUGCAUUUGAAACUGGAAGGCUUGAGUGUCGGAGAGGGUAGUGGAAUUCCCAGUGUAGCGGUGAAAUGCGUAGAUAUUGGGAGGAACACCAGUGGCGAAGGCGACUGCCUGGACGAUAACUGACGCUGAGGCACGAAAGCUAGGGGAGCAAACAGGAUUAGAUACCCUGGUAGUCCUAGCCGUAAACGAUGGGUACUAGGUGUAGGUGGUUUCGAUACCAUCUGUGCCGCAGUUAACGCAAUAAGUACCCCGCCUGGGGAGUACGGUCGCAAGACUGAAACUCAAAUGAAUUGACGG